RNAcentral lists this transfer RNA (78 nucleotides) under Chlamydia trachomatis. RNAcentral's name for it is "tRNA-Ile(tat)". It matches the Rfam family "tRNA". Rfam says of the family: Transfer RNA (tRNA) molecules are approximately 80 nucleotides in length. Their secondary structure includes four short double-helical elements and three loops (D, anti-codon, and T loops). Lineage: Bacteria; Pseudomonadati; Chlamydiota; Chlamydiia; Chlamydiales; Chlamydiaceae. The record is from RNAcentral.
UCUUGCGCGAGCACAUAUGGUACGUGCAUCCGCCUUAUAAGCGGAAGAUAGGUAGGUUCGAACCCUCCGCGUAAGAUC